GUUAAAGUGGCAGAUAAAUGUGCUAAAUUUAGGAUUUAGUUAUGGGUAUUCCCCUUUAAUA
RNAcentral lists this transfer RNA (61 nucleotides) under Ruditapes variegatus. RNAcentral's name for it is "tRNA-Leu". The record is from RNAcentral. RNAcentral also lists the same sequence under 1 other name. Lineage: Eukaryota; Metazoa; Mollusca; Bivalvia; Venerida; Veneridae.